RNAcentral lists this long non-coding RNA (1106 nucleotides) under Dicentrarchus labrax (European seabass). Its description in RNAcentral is "lncRNA (ENSDLAG00005030097.1)". Lineage: Eukaryota; Metazoa; Chordata; Actinopteri; Moronidae. The record is from RNAcentral.
UUUGUGUUAAACUCUGAGUUUGAAUCCUUAAACUGAUUUUGUCUUCAUGUUUGUUGCUGAGAGCUGAUUGUUGUGGCGUUUCUUCACUGCACAGAGAUCAGCUGUCAAUCAAACAUUGUGGGCGGUACUUUGACAUCUUCUCAUUAGUUGUCCUGUAAAUGUUUGAGUGUGUUUAGGUGGCGCUCCUUCCUGUGUCUGUUCAGCCAUAGAGGUUAUCACUGCUCAUGAUGGCUUUUGUUUAGCUGAUCUGACAUUUCUCUGCUCUCUAAAUACAUAUAUAUAUAUAUAUUAUAUUUGUGUUGAUGUAUUUGUAUGUUGUUGUUUCUCUUUCACUGCAUAGAUCCUUAAAUUUAAAGCAGCAGACCUUCCUUUAUUGUAGAUAGUUUGUUCUUAUCAUUUUGUACAUUUCUAAAGAAAUCUGUAAUUACAUUUAUUACAUUAUUUUAACAUUACAAUUUGCUAGAGGACAUUUGUAGUUGUUGUCUAUGUACAAAUGAGGAAAUGUGAGGUGUUACACAAAUGGAAUCAACAUGAUCAUAAUCAAUAAAGAGAUAAACAGCUGCUGUGCUCAAGAGGUUUGUAUUUGAUCCUCAAUUUGAAACAAAGAAAUGCAUCUAAAAGAGUGGUGAUCAGGGUUCCUGUAACUGUGAUUGAUUUACUGCAGCAUCACAGGUAAAGUUACUCCACCUUUGUCCAGUACUGAAGUAUUAAGCAUCAAUGACAACGUCAGAUUGAUUUAGUAAAUCAAGCAUCAAACUAUUUUAAACACAGCCUCCUGUAGCUUCAGUUACUAGCUGAGUAAAAAGUAAAGCACUCUGUGUGGGUCCACAUUUACAUGAAGCACCGACGGAGCUCAUUGGAUUAAAAAAGUCCGUUUCAAUUUAAAGUGUGAGCCGCUGUGAGGUGGAAGAACUGCCUUUAUGAGUGGAAGUGAAGCUGUGGCUAACUGUGGGGGGAAACUGAGACUCUUGUGAGGGUAAAGAGCAGCAGGUCGGUGACUUUGUGCUGAUUUUAUACUUAAAUAUCUCAGUGGUCCCUGAAGGCAACAGUCUGUGUGUUCAUUUAGUCACAAAGCAGAAUGUGAUAAUAAAAUGUUGUCUUAUAGA